AGCAGCAGCCGCGGGAAUACAGAGGGUGCAAGCGUUAAUCGGAAUUACUGGGCGUAAAGCGCGCGUAGGUGGUUUGUUAAGUUGGAUGUGAAAUCCCCGGGCUCAACCUGGGAACUGCAUCCAAAACUGGCAAGCUAGAGUAUGGUAGAGGGUGGUGGAAUUUCCUGUGUAGCGGUGAAAUGCGUAGAUAUAGGAAGGAACACCAGUGGCGAAGGCGACCACCUGGACUGAUACUGACACUGAGGUGCGAAAGCGUGGGGAGCAAACAGGAUUAGAUACCCCGGUAGUCCCUGUCUCUUAUAA
RNAcentral lists this ribosomal RNA (303 nucleotides) under uncultured bacterium. RNAcentral's name for it is "partial 16S ribosomal RNA". It matches the Rfam family "Bacterial small subunit ribosomal RNA", at positions 507 to 809 of the family's 1533-position model. The record is from RNAcentral.